CAGUCGCCGCGGUAAUGCGAAGGGGUCUAGCGUUGUUCGGAAUUACUGGGCGUAAAGGGCGCGUAGGCGGCCAUUCAAGUUAGAUGUGAAAGCCCUGGGCUCAACCUAGGAAUUGCAUUUGAUACUGUUUGGCUUGAGUUCGGGAGAGGUGAGUGGAAUUCCCAGUGUAGAGGUGAAAUUCGUAGAUAUUGGGAAGAACACCAGUGGCGAAGGCGGCUCACUGGACCGACACUGACGCUGAGGCGCGAAAGCGUGGGGAGCAAACAAGAUUAGAUACCCCUGUAGUCCCUGUCUCUUAUAC
RNAcentral lists this ribosomal RNA (301 nucleotides) under uncultured bacterium. RNAcentral describes it as "partial 16S ribosomal RNA". It matches the Rfam family "Bacterial small subunit ribosomal RNA", at positions 509 to 807 of the family's 1533-position model. The record is from RNAcentral.